AUACGGAGGAUCCGAGCGUUAUCCGGAUUUAUUGGGUUUAAAGGGUGCGCAGGCGGCCAUUUAAGUCAGCGGUUAAAUCGUGGGGCUCAACCCCAUUCUGCCGUUGAUACUGGGUGGCUUGAUUGCGGUCGAGGUUGGCGGAAUUCGUUGUGUAGCGGUGAAAUGCAUAGAUAUGACGAAGAACACCGAUUGCGUAGGCAUCUGACCAGACCGCAAAUGACGCUCAUGCACGAAAGUGCGGGGAUCGAACAGGAUUAGAUACCCUGGUAGUCCGCACAGUAAGCGAUGAAUACUUGUUUUCGGCGAUAUAAUGUCGGAGGCAAAGCGAAAGCGAUAAGUAUUCCACCUGGGGAGUACGCCGGCAACGGUGAAACUCAAAUGAAUUGACGGGG
Molecule: ribosomal RNA, 392 nt
Filed under: uncultured bacterium
Lineage: Bacteria
Description: partial 16S ribosomal RNA
Rfam family: Bacterial small subunit ribosomal RNA
Source: RNAcentral